UGCCAUUAGUUGCCAUCAUUUAGUUGGGCACUCUAGUGGGACUGCCGGGGAAAACUCGGAGGAAGGUGGGGAUGACGUCAAAUCAUCAUGCCCCUUAUGUUCUGGGCUACACACGUGCUACAAUGGCCGGUACAACAGGCAGCGAACCCGUGAGGGGGAGCGAAUCCCAAAAGCCGGUCCCAGUUCGGACUGUAGGCUGCAACUCGCCUACACGAAGUUGGAGUUGCUAGUAAUCGCGGAUCAGAAUGCCGCGGUGAAUGCGUUCCCGGGUCUUGUACACACCGCCCGUCACACCAUGGAAGUUGGGGGUGCCCGAAGUCGGUUAGUUAAUCUAUCGCCUAAGGCAAAACCAAUGACUGGGGUGAAGUCGUAACAAGGUAGCCGUAUCGGAAGGUGCGGCUGGAUCACCUCCUUUCUAAGGA
Molecule: ribosomal RNA, 422 nt
Filed under: Solobacterium sp.
Lineage: Bacteria; Bacillati; Bacillota; Erysipelotrichia; Erysipelotrichales; Erysipelotrichaceae
Description: bacterial SSU rRNA
Rfam family: Bacterial small subunit ribosomal RNA
Source: RNAcentral